AGAUGCUGGCACCGAAGCCGGGGGGACAGCCGGUGUGGAGGACGGAGAGCGCCACUGCCUGAGGGCUGGCCGGCUAGGUAGCGGGAAACCAGCUUCUCUGACCGAAGCUCUGGACUCUGCUGAUCCGGAGCGCUGAAGUGUGUCCGGUGCCACCCUGAUGCUCUCCUGGGAGUUGUGUUGCUCCUGGCUGAGAAAUAGACUUACUUCUUUCUUAGAUAGCGCUCCUGCGAGUGAUUUUCAGGACGCUGGAUGCUAAGACUAGACGAAGGAAGCCAAAGCCCCCGCGAGUCAGGCAGGCCGGUGUCACGGCCCUAUGAUUAUGGCAAGGGGGACCCUCUGCCUGGCUGCUGUUUCCUGAGACCCGUUCGGAACCUCACGUGUACCUCGAAGUUCACCGUUUUCCUCCCAAAGAACCUGGCUAAAUGUUCAUAAUGGCUGAGUUUUAUUUUGGGACAUAAUUUCUUUGGUUCUUCACCACCACUUUUUGGAGAGUGGUAAUGUCUUCCUCUUUUUGCUUUAGGAGAAAAGUCUCUCGCUCUGUUGCCCA
RNAcentral lists this small RNA (547 nucleotides) under Pongo abelii (Sumatran orangutan). RNAcentral describes it as "processed transcript". Lineage: Eukaryota; Metazoa; Chordata; Mammalia; Primates; Hominidae. The record is from RNAcentral.